GCCGCGAAUUCCCUAGUGAUUCAGAACGAACGCUGGCGGCGCGCCUAAUACAUGCAAGUCGAACGAGAACGUGUAGCAAUACACAUGUACAGUGGCGAACGGGUGAGGAAUACAUGGGUAACCUACCCUCSAGUGGGGAAUAACUAGCCGAAAGGUUAGCUAAUACCGCGUACGCCUCCUGGACUGCGGUUCGGGAGGGAAAGCGAUACCGUGGGUAUCGCGCUCUUGGAUGGGCUCAUGCCCUAUCAGCUUGUUGGUGAGGUAACGGCUCACCAAGGCAUCGACGGGUAGCUGAUCUGAGAGGAUGAUCAGCCACACUGGCACUGCGACACGGGCCAGACUCCUACGGGAGGCAGCAGUAAGGAAUAUUGCGCAAUGGGCGAAAGCCUGACGCACCCACGCYGCGUGGGGGAUGAAGGUCUUCGGAUUGUAAACCCCUUUCGGGAGGGAAGAUGGGAUGGGGUAACCCAUUCGGACGGUACCUCCAGAAGCAGCCACGGCUAACUUCGUGCCAGCAGCCGCGGUAAUACGAAGGUGGCAAGCGUUGUUCGGAUUUACUGGGCGUACAGGGAGCGUACGCCGGUUCGGUAAGCCCUCCGUGAAAUCUCCAGGCUUAACCUGGAAAGUGCAGAGGGACUGCUGGGCUAGACGAUGGAGAGGAGCCCGAAUUCCUGUGUA
This 678-nucleotide ribosomal RNA is filed under the name uncultured bacterium. Its description in RNAcentral is "bacterial SSU rRNA". It matches the Rfam family "Bacterial small subunit ribosomal RNA", at positions 1 to 677 of the family's 1533-position model. The record is from RNAcentral.